GAAUAGGAAGAUGCGACAGGUGCCGUGUGGAAGCAUGGCUGAAAAGGGAAACCGGUGAAAGUCCGGUACGGUCCCGCCACUGUAAGGGGAAGCAACUUAUCACAUCCACUGUUUCUAUAGGGAAUGGGAAGGGAUAAGGCGUGAUGAACCUGAGUCAGGAGACCUGCCUGUUGUGUGCACUUAAG
This 185-nucleotide non-coding RNA is filed under the name Rossellomorea marisflavi. The record is from RNAcentral. Lineage: Bacteria; Bacillati; Bacillota; Bacilli; Caryophanales; Bacillaceae.